AUGUUAAUUAACUUAAAAUGUAGAAGAGCAAUUGUUAGUAAUGUUUAUGUCAAACAUAAUGCACAUAAAAACAUUAAAAUAGGUUCUGUAUAUAAUUUGACCUGUGGUGAAUUUGAAUUAACUUUUAAAAUACUUUUUAACAUAUACACAUUUUUCUAUGUAGGUCCCACUGUGUUAGAUACAUUUUUCUAUGUAGGCCCCACUGUGUUAGACACAUUUUUCUAUGUAGGCCCCACUGUGUUAGACACAUUUUUCUAUGUAGGUCUCACUGUGUUAGACACAUUUUUCUAUGUAGGUCCCACUGUGUUAGAUACAUUUUUCUAUGUAGGUCCCACUGUGUUAGACACAUUUUUCUAUGUAGGCCCCACUGUGUUAGACACAUUUUUCUAUGUAGGCCCCACUGUGUUAGAUACAUUUUUCUAUGUAGGCCCCACUGUGUUAGACACAUUUUUCUAUGUAGGCCCCACUGUGUUAGAUACAUUUUUCUAUGUAGGCCCCACUGUGUUAGACACAUUUUUCUAUGUAGGUCCCACUGUGUUAGACACAUUUUUCUAUGUAGGUCCCACUGUGUUAGACACAUUUUUCUAUGUAGGCCCCACUGUGUUAGACACAUUUUUCUAUGUAGGCCCCACUGUGUUAGACACAUUUUUCUAUGUAGGCCCCACUGUGUUAGACACAUUUUUCUAUGUAGGCCCCACUGUGUUAGACACAUUUUUCUAUGUAGGCCCCACUGUGUUAGACACAUUUUUCUAUGUAGGCCCCACUGUGUUAGACACAUUUUUCUAUGUAGGUCCCACUGUGUUAGAUACAUUUUUCUAUGUAGGUCCCACUGUGUUAGAUACAUUUUUCUAUGUAGGCCCCACUGUGUUAGACACAUUUUUCUAUGUAGGUCCCACUGUGUUAGACACAUUUUUCUAUGUAGGUCUCACUGUGUUAGACACAUUUUUCUAUGUAGGGCCCACUGUGUUAGACACAUUUUUCUAUGUAGGUCCCACUGUGUUAGACACAUUUUUCUAUGUAGGUCCCACUGUGUUAGACACAUUUUUCUAUGUAGGCCCCACUGUGUUAGACACAUUUUUCUAUGUAGGCCCCACUGUGUUAGACACAUUUUUCUAUGUAGGCCCCACUGUGUUAGACACAUUUUUCUAUGUAGGCCCCACUGUGUUAGACACAUUUUUCUAUGUAGGCCCCACUGUGUUAGACACAUUUUUCUAUGUAGGUCCCACUGUGUUAGAUACAUUUUUCUAUGUAGGCCCCACUGUGUUAGACACAUUUUUCUAUGUAGGCCCCACUGUGUUAGACACAUUUUUCUAUGUAGGCCCCACUGUGUUAGACACAUUUUUCUAUGUAGGUCCCACUGUGUUAGAUACAUUUUUCUAUGUAGGUCCCACUGUGUUAGAUACAUUUUUCUAUGUAGGCCCCACUGUGUUAGACACAUUUUUCUAUGUAGGCCCCACUGUGUUAGCCACAUUUUUCUAUGUAGGCCCCACUGUGUUAGACACAUUUUUCAGUUGUGGUAUAAUGCUCAUUUCAUGCUCAAAUGUUUUUAUAUUCCAUGUGCCACAGAAGAAAGAGAUGAGAUGA
This 1584-nucleotide long non-coding RNA is filed under the name Oncorhynchus mykiss (rainbow trout). RNAcentral describes it as "lncRNA (ENSOMYG00000071098.1)". The record is from RNAcentral. Lineage: Eukaryota; Metazoa; Chordata; Actinopteri; Salmoniformes; Salmonidae.